RNAcentral lists this ribosomal RNA (467 nucleotides) under uncultured bacterium. RNAcentral describes it as "partial 16S ribosomal RNA". It matches the Rfam family "Bacterial small subunit ribosomal RNA", at positions 28 to 507 of the family's 1533-position model. The record is from RNAcentral.
GAUGAACGCUGGCGGCGUGCUUAACACAUGCAAGUCGAACGGAAAGGCCCAAGCUUGCUUGGGUACUCGAGUGGCGAACGGGUGAGUAACACGUGGGUGAUCUGCCCUGCACUUCGGGAUAAGCCUGGGAAACUGGGUCUAAUACCGGAUAGGACCACAUCUUGGAUGUUGUGGUGGAGAGCUUUUUCGGUGUCGGGUGAGCUCGCGGCCUAUCAGCUUGUUGGUGGGGUAAUGGCCUACGAAGGCGUCGACGGGUAGCCGGCCCGAGUGGGUGUACGGCGACAUUGAGACUGAGAUACGGCACAGGCGGCUACUGGAGGCAGAAGGGGGGAAGAUUGCACAAUGGGCGCAAGCCUGGUGCAGCGGCGCCGCGUGGGGGAUGACGGUCUUCGGGUUGUAAACACCUUUCGCUAGGGACGAAGCGUUUUGUGACGGUACCUGGAGAAGAAGCACCGGCUAACUACGUG